GACGAACGCUGGCGGCGUGCUUAACACAUGCAAGUCGAACGGAAAGGCCCUGCUUUUGUGGGGUGCUCGAGUGGCGAACGGGUGAGUAACACGUGAGUAACCUGCCCUUGACUUUGGGAUAACUUCAGGAAACUGGGGCUAAUACCGGAUAGGAGCUCCUGCUGCAUGGUGGGGGUUGGAAAGUUUCGGCGGUUGGGGAUGGACUCGCGGCUUAUCAGCUUGUUGGUGGGGUAGUGGCUUACCAAGGCUUUGACGGGUAGCCGGCCUGGGAGGGUGACCGGCCACAUUGGGACUGAGAUACGGCCCAGACUCCUACGGGAGGCAGCAGUGGGGAAUAUUGCACAAUGGGCGGAAGCCUUAUGCAGCAACGCCGCGUGCGGGAUGACGGCCUUCGGGUUGUAAACCGCUUUCGCCUGUGACGAAGCGUGAGUGACGGUAAUGGGUAAAGAAGCACCGGCUAACUACGUG
Molecule: ribosomal RNA, 468 nt
Filed under: uncultured bacterium
Lineage: Bacteria
Description: partial 16S ribosomal RNA
Rfam family: Bacterial small subunit ribosomal RNA
Source: RNAcentral